AGAACGAACGCUGGCGGCAUGCCUAAUACAUGCAAGUCGAACGAACACUUCGGUGUUAGUGGCGCACGGGUGCGUAACGCGGGGGAAUCUGCCCUUGGGUUCGGAAUAACAGUUGGAAACGACUGCUAAUACCGGAUGAUAUCGAAAGAUCAAAGAUUUAUCGCCCAGGGAUGAGCCCGCGUAGGAUUAGCUAGUUGGUGAGGUAAAGGCUCACCAAGGCGACGAUCCUUAGCUGGUCUGAGAGGAUGAUCAGCCACACUGGGACUGAGACACGGCCCAGACUCCGUACGGGAGG
Molecule: ribosomal RNA, 295 nt
Filed under: uncultured soil bacterium
Lineage: Bacteria
Description: partial 16S ribosomal RNA
Rfam family: Bacterial small subunit ribosomal RNA
Source: RNAcentral